AACAGUUCUAAAAAGUUCAGCUCUUCAGAUGGCUUGUGAAUGGUAGAAAAGAACUUAGAUCAGAUCUUCACAUUUGAAAGGAGCAGACAAACAUCACUAGUAUGAUGGGACUGAAGCCCAAGAUUGGUAACGUGAUGGAUUUGCAGAAAGAACCAACAACUCCUACAGAUGAUCACAGUUCUCAUUUUAACACUAUCUGUGUUGUAACAAAGCCACUGGUUAAAUAAUGAGUCCAGAUAAAAAUGAUGUGAUAUCGUGAAGUCAUCUUCUUCAGAUACGUAUUUGGGCAAGCUUCCAAAGGAUUUCCUAAGGCCAAAUCUAAAAUAGCGAAGAGGAAAAUACAUAAAUUUAUCCUUUAAUAAUUGAUGCUAAAAACUAAUUUUCAAAAUAUUCCCAGGAAAGUCCUAUCUU
Long non-coding RNA from Rhinopithecus roxellana (golden snub-nosed monkey), 411 nucleotides. RefSeq lists it as uncharacterized. The record is from RefSeq and is a predicted model, not a curated record. Lineage: Eukaryota; Metazoa; Chordata; Mammalia; Primates; Cercopithecidae. The transcript is spliced from 5 exons.